This 437-nucleotide ribosomal RNA is filed under the name uncultured bacterium. RNAcentral describes it as "bacterial SSU rRNA". It matches the Rfam family "Bacterial small subunit ribosomal RNA", at positions 355 to 786 of the family's 1533-position model. The record is from RNAcentral.
UAGGGAAUUUUCGUCAAUGGGGGAAGCCCUGAACGAGCAAUGCCGCGUGUGUGAAGAAGGUCUUCGGAUCGUAAAGCACUGUUGUAAGUGAAGAAUGCCAUAUAGAGGAAAUGCUAUGUGGGUGACGGUAGCUUACCAGAAAGCCACGGCUAACUACGUGCCAGCAGCCGCGGUAAUACGUAGGUGGCAAGCGUUAUCCGGAAUCAUUGGGCGUAAAGGGUGCGUAGGUGGCACGAUAAGUCUGAAGUAAAAGGCAACAGCUCAACUGUUGUAUGCUUUGGAAACUGUCGAGCUAGAGUGCAGAAGAGGGCGAUGGAAUUCCAUGUGUAGCGGUAAAAUGCUAGAUAUAUGGAGGAACACCAGUGGCGAAGGCGGUCGCCUGGUCUGUAACUGACACUGGUGCACGAAAGCGUGGGGAGCAAAUAGGAUUAGAUACC